UAAUACAGAGAGUGCGAACGUUGUUCGGAAUUACUGGGCUUAAAGAGUACGUAGGCGGCAUGACAAGUGUUAGGUGAAAUCCCACGGCUUACCCGUGGAACUGCCUAGCAAACUGUCAAGCUAGAGUGUGGUAGGGGAGAACAGAACUCAUGGUGGAGCGGUGAAAUGCGUAGAUAUCAUGAGGAAUACCGGUGGCGAAGGCGGUUCUCUGGUCCACAACUGACGCUGAGGUACGAAAGCUAGGGUAGCGAACGGGAUUAGAUACCCCGGUAGUCCUAGCCGUAAACGAUGGGCACUAGCUUGGGGCCUCCCUGUGUGGUUCCAGGUGAAGCAAAAGUAAUAAGUGCCCCGCCUGGGGAGUAUGGUCGCAAGGCUG
Molecule: ribosomal RNA, 376 nt
Filed under: uncultured Planctomycetota bacterium
Lineage: Bacteria; Pseudomonadati; Planctomycetota
Description: bacterial SSU rRNA
Rfam family: Bacterial small subunit ribosomal RNA
Source: RNAcentral